This 21-nucleotide microRNA is filed under the name Echinococcus granulosus. RNAcentral's name for it is "egr-miR-10292-5p". The record is from miRBase by way of RNAcentral. Lineage: Eukaryota; Metazoa; Platyhelminthes; Cestoda; Cyclophyllidea; Taeniidae.
AGAAUGCCCGCAAUAUUUCUG